Molecule: non-coding RNA, 100 nt
Organism: Acanthosepion pharaonis
Lineage: Eukaryota; Metazoa; Mollusca; Cephalopoda; Sepiida; Sepiidae
Source: the annotation of a GenBank genome assembly
ACGACCACAUCACGUUGAAACACCUUACUAUCACCGAAGUUAAGUAACUUCGAGUCUGGUCAGUACUUAGAUGGGUGACCGCUUGGGAACACCAGGUAUU